This 496-nucleotide ribosomal RNA is filed under the name uncultured bacterium. RNAcentral's name for it is "partial 16S ribosomal RNA". It matches the Rfam family "Bacterial small subunit ribosomal RNA", at positions 28 to 507 of the family's 1533-position model. The record is from RNAcentral.
GACGAACGCUGGCGGCGUGCCUAAUACAUGCAAGUCGAGCGCUGAAGGUUGGUGCUUGUACCGCCUGGAUGAGCAGCGAACGGGUGAGUAACGCGUGGGGAAUCUGCCUUUGAGCGGGGGACAACAUCGGGAAACGAAUGCUAAUACCGCAUAAAAACUUGAAACACAAGGUUCAAGUGUGAAAGAUGCAAUUGCAUCACUCAAAGAAGAUACCGCGUUGUAUUAGCUAGUUGGUAAGGUAAAGGCCUACCAAGGCAAAGAUACAUAGCCGCCCUGAGAGGGUGAUCGCCCACACUGGAACUGAGACACGCUCCAGACUCCUACGGGAGGCACCAGUAGGGAAUCUUGCGCAAUGGGCGAAGGCCUGACGGGGCACCCCCGCGUGAGUGAUGAAGGUCUUCGGACCGUAAAACCCUGUUGUUAGGAAAGACCAUAUGUGUAAUUAACUGCGCACCUAGUGACGGUACCUACUCAGAAAGCCACGGCUAACUACGUG